Molecule: ribosomal RNA, 468 nt
Filed under: uncultured bacterium
Lineage: Bacteria
Description: partial 16S ribosomal RNA
Rfam family: Bacterial small subunit ribosomal RNA
Source: RNAcentral
GACGAACGCUGGCGGCGUGCUUAACACAUGCAAGUCGAACGGAAAGGCCCUGCUUUUGUGGGGUGCUCGAGUGGCGAACGGGUGAGUAACACGUGAGUAACCUGCCCUUGACUUUGGGAUAACUUCAGGAAACUGGGGCUAAUACCGGAUAGGAGCUCCUGCUGCAUGGUGGGGGUUGGAAAGUUUCGGCGGUUGGGGAUGGACUCGCGGCUUAUCAGCUUGUUGGUGGGGUAGUGGCUUACCAAGGCUUUGACGGGUAGCCGGCAUGAGAGGGUGACCGGCCACAUUGGGACUGAGAUACGGACCAGACUCCUACGGGAGGCAGCAGUGGGGAAUCUUGCACAAUGGGCGGAAGCCUGAUGUAGCAACGCCGCGUGCGGGAUGACGGCCUUCGGGUUGUAAACCGCUUUCGCCUGUGACGAAGCGUGAGUGACGGUAAUGGGUAAAGAAGCACCGGCUAACUACGUG